RNAcentral lists this ribosomal RNA (222 nucleotides) under uncultured bacterium. RNAcentral describes it as "partial 16S ribosomal RNA". It matches the Rfam family "Bacterial small subunit ribosomal RNA", at positions 15 to 228 of the family's 1533-position model. The record is from RNAcentral.
GAUCAUGGCUCAAGAUGAACGCUGGCGGCGUGCCUAAUACAUGCAAGUAGAACGCUGAAGGAGGAGCUUGCUCUUUCCGGAUGAGUUGCGAACGGGUGAGUAACGCGUAGGUAACCUGCCUGGUAGCGGGGGAUAACUAUUGGAAACGAUAGCUAAUACCGCAUAAUAGUAGAUAUUGCAUGAUAUCUGCUUGAAAGGGGCAAUUGCUCCACUACCAGAUGG